Molecule: long non-coding RNA, 1092 nt
Filed under: Capra hircus (goat)
Lineage: Eukaryota; Metazoa; Chordata; Mammalia; Artiodactyla; Bovidae
Description: lncRNA (ENSCHIG00010002313.1)
Source: RNAcentral
CAAGGCGGCUCUCAUACCUGCAUGUACUCACAUGUGUCACUGGCACAGCCAGCGGACCUGAUAGCCAAGUGUGUGGGUUAUCUGGUGGCUGACGAGCCUGGCAAAACUGAGAAGCUGAGAUGGAGCGUGGCCCUACCUGUGUGGACUGAUGAUUUUUCUCCAUGCAGCCCAUCAAAUUUAAACGUGACCUGUGUUCCUUACCAUGUAUUUUCCAACAACUAAACGAAGCUUCCUGAUGUGAUGUAAUGAAAUCUGUCACCUUUAAUAAGCUAGAGAACCUUGAAUCUGGGUCCCCAAAUGUGACAAGUCUAAUGUGACCAAACCAGGUUGAAUGUCAACAAAGAACUGCACUUUCCCAAAUCUGAAUUCUCAUUUUUUACACAUUUUCAAACUUAUUUAGGGAGCAGCUUUUGAAAAAUAUUUGCUCAAAGAACGUAUAUCACUCUCAGACUCAUACGACGGAAAAGUUGAAUAGAAAACUAGAAAGGCUUCUGUAGAUGUAUAUCCUUCGAAGAGAUUUUAAUAAACCAUGAAUAAAUUAAAUGGUUUUAAGAAAAAAGAGAAAUUAUUUGAUACAUAAUUUUCAUGCACACAGAAAACAUGCUAAACAUAGGUAGAUACGAAUUUUGAAUAAAAUCACAGACCACUAAACAAAAAAGACAGAUGCAGCCUCGUGAGUUCUCUGACCUUGGGCAAGUCCUUCAUAAGAAGGGACAUAAAGAAUAUCUGACCUUCAGCUCCACCGAGAUGCAAAGGCAGAUACAAAUGUGAGGAAAAGUGCUCUGUAAACCGCAGGCUGCUGUCCAAAUAUUGCGUGGAAGCCUAACCCCGUUUGUUAUUCAAAAGGAAGUGGUGGGAUAUAAAUGGAUGAACUCAUUAGUAAUGCAGUUAACACCAUAAAGUGCAUUACUGUUACCUACCACAGGGCACUAGAAGGCACUCUAUAAAUACACGAAAAUACACUGAAUUCAGCCAAAAUACUGUGCCAUUUAAAUCUGUGUAAAUCCACAAAUUGAUAAUUUCCACCUUCAAACAAAAUAUUAUGCUAAUAUAUAUAUAUAUACAUAUAAUACAACUAAGAGCAGUACUACU